AUUUGUGACCUAUACGUAUGGUUCGGGUUGAGAUCCAAGGAGCUCGAGAUGUCGGACUUGAUUGCAACUUGAAAAUAGUGCAAUAUUUUGUUGGUGCCAAUUAUGACUUACGCGGUUGCGGACCUGGAGGUCGCAAUCGCGGAGUGAAAAUGUGGAUGGACUGAGGGUUAGGCAAAAUGCCUUCGUGAUCACUUCGGGUGGUCGCGAUUGCGAAAAAAGAUUUUGGAGUUGAUUGAGUUUGAUCUUUGCAAUCGCGUGAGGAGGUCUGCGAUUGCCUAUAAAGCCUAACCUGGGUUUUGGACUUUGACAAAUUUCAGACUUCAUUCUUUGCCUUUUUGGAGAGGUGGAGCUCGUGGGUGAUUCCAAAAAUGGAUGGAUUUCAGCCUAAAUCAUUAAGGUAUUGAUUCUCUAAUACUCUAUGAUGAAUAUACUUGAUUUUGGUGCAAUCUUGACCACAAAAUCAUGAGAUUGAAAGAGUUAAUUGAGAAUUUUUGACAUAGUUUCCUAAUAUGAUUACAAUCAUAUACCUUAUUUUAAGUAUUUGCGUCCAAAUUAGUGUUGUUAACAUGUCCAUUAGUUGAUAGAGUCAUUUGUGACCUAUACGUAUGGUUCGGGUUGAGAUCCAAGGAGCUCGAGAUGUCGGACUUGAUUGCAACUUGAAAAUAGUGUAAUAUUUUGUUGGUGCCAAUUAUGACUUACACAGUUGCGGACCUGGAGGUCGCGAUCGCGGAGUGAAAAUGUGGAUGGACCGAGGGUUAGGCAAAAUGCCUUCGUGAUCACUUCGGGUGGUCGCGAUUGCAAAAAAUGAUUUUGGAGUUGAUUGAGUUUGAUCUUUGCAAUCGCGUGAGGAGGUCUGCGAUUGCCUAGAAAGCCUGACCUGGGUUUUGGACUUUGACAAAUUUCAGACUUCAUUCUUAGCCUUUUUGGAGAGGUGGAGCUCGUGGGUGAUUCCAAAAAUUGAUGGAUUUCAGCCUAAAUCAUUAAGGUAUUGAUUCUCUAAUACUCUAUGAUGAGUACACUUGAUUUUGGUGCAAUCUUGACCACAAAAUCAUGAGAUUGAAAGAGUUAAUUGAGAAUUUUUGACAUAGUUUCCUAAUAUGAUAAAAUUAAGAUUUGAGCAUGCAAAUGAACUGUAAAUGAGAAACUAAAUAUAGAUUUAGACUCAUGAGCUUAUGGGUAAUCAGGUUAUGUGGUUUAUUAUGAGGUUUGAUUAGUUUGAUUGAGAGUUAACUUUGAACGUCAACUUUGACUAUGACUUAUUUUAAAAUUUAAAAAUAGUUCCCGUAGACUAAUUUGGACUUGUUAUUCAAUAUUUGACAUAGAUUGAGGUGAUUGGAUGUAGUCUUGGUGGACUUGGGUUUUUCAAGUGAAGCUAAGGUUGACCAUUUUAAGGAAAGUGAGACUUUUAACCUCUCGAAUAAAUGCUUUCUUUUCAACGCCAUGAUUUAGAACUUGUAUGAAUGCUCUUAAAUACCUAAUAUGUUAAGUAGCGAGCGUGUAUUAGAGUAUUUAUACCAUUUUUUUUAGCUUAGAUGCUAUAUGUGUCGACGCAUUUCUCUUACGUAGUUGAGUUAUAAGCAUGUGUUAUAAUACCUUUUAUGAUAAACUGAGCAUAAUAUAUUAGUGUGUACUGAUUAUGAAGCAUUGAUAGAAUGUGUGUCCUUCCUAUACGUGUUAAGACUCAUAGCAGGACUUUGUUCUUAUCUAUUGAUAUUGUUAGCUUGCAUUGUUUGAUUUGUGUGUAUAUGUUUGAUGACUUGAGAUAUGUCACGACCCAAAUCCCUUCACGGGGUCGUGAUCGGCACCUAAUUUCCCAAAUUAGGUAAGCCGAUCACUUAAUAUUAUUUUUAAAAAUAAGCAUGAUAUAACAAAAUAAAGUUUAACAUCAAUGUGAAAACAGAAGUAAUACAGGCCAAAGCGGCAAUACUCAACAUAACUCCCCAGAACUAGGUAGUACAGAGUCACGAGCUCUAACUGAAUACAUGAGAAUAUUUCAAAAUACAGUAGUGUGUGAAAUACGCAAAUAAUAGAAAUGAAACAAAGAGGGUGACUCCGAGACCUGCGGUCGGAUCAUGCAGGGAUACCUUGAAGUCUCCGAUAUGCAGAAUGCCUCACUAACUAUCAGCCCGAUCCAAAGUACCCGGAUCUGCACAAAAAUAUACAGAAGCAUAGUAUGAAUACACCACAAUCGGUACCUAAUAAGUAUCAAGACUAACAUCGGUGGAGUAGUAACGAGGUUCCAAUCAUAUGAUACUCACUAGACAAAUAUUAUGUGCAGUGAAUAUAUCAAAGAAACUGACAACAUAAAUAUAACUGGAAACAACAACAACAAUCUCUUUAGAACGUGUAAUAACAACUCAGUGGAGUAAAACCCAUCUUUCAUCACAAUUAUCAAAUAGAGGUGAGGCAUGUGAUAACACGUCAAAUACAACAAUUAACUCAUAUAAGUGCAAAAUAAAAACUUUCAGAAACAAUUAUGUAAUAAAAAUAUCAAUCCCGUCUCAACACAAUCACAAUAACAAGAAGGACACCCAAAAUAUCACGUAACAUUAUCAGCAAUGCCACCCUUAUUCUGUCGCAUGUGCACAUAACAAUGAAAUGCCUCCCGUAUUUUUUCACAUGCGCAUAUAGCCACCCUUAUUUCGACACGUGGGCAGCUUGAGAUAACAUCACCCUUAUUUUGCCCCACGAGCACAAUAAUAGAUACAACCGCACGACAAAGACCUCGUACUGACACCCUCAAUCAAUCCGCUUAAUAUGUCCACAAGUGCCAUAAUACCAUAAAAUAAUAAUACCAAGUGUCACAAUAUCACAAACAAUGAUACCAAAGUUUUACCAAGAUAUAAGCUCACAACUUUCAACAAUAGUGCAUAAGGACAUAACAAUAAUCAUAAAAGUGUAGGGGUGUUCAAUAAAUAAAGCAUGACUAUUCAACGUAAUGAUCAAGAACAAAUAGUCAUAAAGUGGUCUCAACAUGUUUUAUAUAAAGUUCAUAAUCACAUUAAGACAUAUUAAUAGCCUACAGUCUAUUCUAGUCAAAAUCAUACAUAUUACCCACAUACACGCUCGUCACCUCAUGUACACGUCACGUUUUACAUCAUAGAAAUUAACAAAUUAGGGCUAGAACCUAAGGUGAGUUUUUCCACACAAGAUUAGACAAGAUACUUGCCUCAAACAAGUCAAAUCAGUACUCUAAAAAUCCCUUCUCGCGUGAAUCAACCCCCGGACAACUCGAAUCUAGCCAAAAUAACUUAAUAAUAUAAAUAGAAGCUACAGAAAAUAACACCAAACAAUAAAGCUUCGAUCUUGAAGAAAAAUAAAAAAGUCAGCUCAAAAGUCAAUCCGGACCCGUCUCUCAAAAUCCGACAAAAAUCAUAAAUUUCGAACACCCAUUAGAAUACAAGUCCAACCAUAGCAAUUUCAUCUAAAUCCGACUAUAAAUCUAAAUUCAAAUCCCUAUUUUUCAUUUAGAAAGUUUUUUAUUAAAACUUCCAAUUUCUUUACUUAGAUUCAUCAAUGAAUCCCUAAAAUCAAGGUUGGAAUAAUGAGUAAUACAUUAAUCCGAGUAAAAAAUGCUUACCCCAAUCCAAAUCGUGAAACUUUCCUCCAAAAUCACCCAAAUCUGAGCUCCCAAUCUCAAAAUGUAAUAAAUGAAAUAAAACCAAUGUUCAAGAUAUAUUUUGCCCAGCAUUUUCGCUUUUGCGGUCUCUCAGUCGCAUCUGUGGUACCGCAUAUGGUGAAAAACUUAUCGCAUACGCGGAAGCAACUUAAAUCCUAAAGAUCCGCUUCUGCGGCCAAAACAGCGCUUCUGUGAACCAAUAGGCGCACCUGCGAUGUCUUUUUUAUGACACGAAUACUGCACCUGCGGACAUCCAAGAGCCCAACCAUUAACGCAUUUGCGAUCCCUUGUCUGCUUCUGCAGACUUGCACCUGCGAACCAAAUGUAGCAAGUGUGAAAGCACCAGAACUGAUCACCCCAAACAAUCACAAAAUUCGAAGCCCAUCCAAAACUCAUCCGAGGCACCCUGGACCCUAUCCAAACACACCAACCAAUUCCAAAAUAUAACACAUACCUAUUUGAGGCCUCAAAUCACACAAAGCAACAUCAAAAUUACGAAUCGCACCGUAGUUCAAGCCUAAGGAACUAAUACAAAUUUCAAAAUUCAAAACUUACGUCGAACGUGCCUAAACACCUCAGAAUGACCUCAAAUUUUGCAUGCAUGUCCCAAUUACCACAAUGGACCUAUCCCAACUCCCAGAACCAAAAUUCGAACCCGAUAUUAACUAAGUCAAACCUAUUAACCUUCAACUUUCUAACUUUCGCCAAUCCAAGCAAAAAUAAUCUAGGAACCUCCAAAUCUAAAUCCAGACAUAUGCCUAAGUCCAAAAUUACCAUACGAAACUACUGGAACCAUCAAAAUAUCAUUUUGGAGUCGUCUACACAAAAAUUAAACUUCGAUCAACUCUUACAACUUAAGCCUCUAACCAAGAGACUAAGUAUCCCAAAUCAAUCCAAAACCUCCCCGAAACCAAACUAACAAUCCCCCCAAGUCACGUAAGCACAAAUACACAUGUGUAAAGCAUAAAAUGGGGGAAACAUGGCUAAAACACUCAAAAUGACCGAUCGGAUCGUUACAUUCUCCCCUCUUAAAUAAACAUUCAUCCUUGAACGAGUAUAAAGACAUACCUGAAGUGCCAAAAGGUGAGGAUAUCGGCUCCGCAUAUCAUGCUCGGUCUCCCAAGUCGCCGCCUUGACCAGUUGACCUCUCCACUGAACCUUCACUGAUACAAUGUUCUUUGACCUCAACUUCCGGACCUGUCUGUCCAAAAUAGCCACCGACUCCUCAUCAUAUGUUAAAUCCUUGUCCAAUUGCACUAAGGUGAAAUCUAAUACAUGUGAUAGAUCACCAUAAUACAUCCGGAGCAUGAAAACAUGGAACACCGGGUAAACUUCUGAUAAGCUGGGUGGCAAACCAAGUCUGUAGGACACCUCGUCGACUCUCUCAACAAUCUCAAAAGCACCAAUAUACCGAGGGCUCAACUUGCCCUUUUUUCUGAACCUCACACACACUUUUCAUGGGUGAAACUCUGAGUAAAACCCUCUCACCCACCAUGAAUGCCACAUCAAGAGCACUCCUAUUAGCAUAACUCUUUUUCCUAAAUUGUGAUGUACGAAGCUGCUCCUAAAUUAACUUCGCCUUCUCUAAAGCAACACAUACCAUAUUAGUGCUCAACAACCCAGCCUUCCCAGGCUCAAACCAACCAACCAGAGAACAACAUCACCUCCCAUAUAAGGCCUCGUAAGGAGCCAUCUAGAUACUCGACUGAUAGCUACUGUUGUAGGAGAACUCUUUUAGCGAUAGAAACUGAUCCCAAGAGCCCCCAAAAUCAAUGACACAUGCAUGUAACAUGUCCUCCAAAAUCUGAAUAGUGCGCUUGGACUUUCCGUCCGUCUGUGGAUGAAAUGUCAUUCUCAGCUCGACCUGUGUGACCAACUCAUGCUGCACGGCUCUCCAAAAAUGCAAUGUGGACUGCAUGCCCAAAUCAAAGAUAAUAGACACCGGCACACCAUGAAGGCGAAUAAUUUCACGAAGAUAAAUCCGAGCCAGCUGCUCUGAAGAGUAGGUAGUCAUGACUGGAAUGAUGUGUGUAGACUUAGUCAGUCUGUCCACAAUGACCCACACUGCAUCGAAUCUCCUCAAGGUCUGUGGAAGUCCAACUACAAAAUCCCUAAUGAUACGCUCCCACUUCCACUCCAGAAUAUCAAGCCUCUAAAGCAGACCACCUGGUCUCUGAUGCUCAUACUUCACCUGCUGACAGUUCAAACACCCAAAAACAUACUCGGCAAUAUUCUUAUUCAUCAUAUGUCACCAAUAGUGCUGACUCAAAUUAUGGUACAUCUUCGCGGCACCCGAAUGAAUGGAAGACCGCAAACUAUGGGCCUCCUCAAGAAUCAGCUCCUACAACCCAUCCAUAUUUGGAACACAGAUCUAGCCAUGAAGCCUCAAUACCCGAUCAUCCUCAAUAGUCACCUCCUUGGCAUCACCGUGUCCUAAGGACAAGCAAGUGGGUAUCAUCAUAUUGAUGCACCUUGAUGCGCUCAAACAAACACGAUCGUGAAACUAUGCAAGUGAGAACUCGUCUAGGCUCUGAAACAUCCGACCUCACGAACCUGUUGGCCAAAGCUUGAACAUCCAAAUCUAAUGGUCUCUCCCCAACUGGAAUAAAAGCAAGACUCCCCAUCCUCUCAGCCUUCCUACUCAAAGCAUCGACCACCACAUUGGCCUUCGCCGGGUGAUAAAAAAUGGUGAUAUCAUAGUCCUUUAGUAGCUCUAACCACCUCUGUUACCUCAAGUUCAGAUCCUUUUACUUGAUUAAGUACUGAAGACUCCUAUGACCCGUGAACACCUCACAAGACACUCCAUAGAGAUAGUGCCUCCAAAUCUUAAGCGCGUAAACAAUGGCUGCCAACUCCAAAUCGUGCACUAAGUAGUUCUUCUAAUAGGGCUUCAACUGACGCGAAGCAUAAGCAAUCACUCUACCCUCAUGCAUCAACACACGUCCAAUGCCAAUCCGUGAAGCAUCACAAUAGACUGUAUAAAAACUCAAUGCUGAAGGCAAAACCAGAACUAGAGUUGUAGUUAAGGCAGUCUUGAGCUUAUGAAAGCUCUCCUCACACUCGUUAGACCACCUGAAUGGGGCACCCUUAUGAGUCAAUAUAGUCAAAGGUAAUAUUAUGGAUGAAAAGUCCUCCACAAAGCAGCGAUCUCAGUAGAUGUAGAAGGUCUAGGCCAACCCUGAAUUGUCUCAAUCAUCUUCGGAUAUAUCUUAAUCCCAUCACUAGACACCACGUGGCCCAAGAAUGCCACUGAAUCAACCCAAAACUCACAUUUGGAGAAUUUAGCAUAUAGUUUUUUUCCCCUCAAAGUCUGGAGCACAUUCCUCAAGUGUUGUUCAUGCUCCUCUCGGCUACGAGAAUAUACCAAUAUAUCAUCAAUAAACACAAUAAUGAAGGAAUCUAGACACAACUCAAACACGUUGUUCAUCAAGUGCAUGAAAGCUGCUGUGGCAUUGGUUAGCCCAAAAGACAUCACCAAAAGCUCAUUAUGACCAUAACGGUUCCUAAAAGCCGUCUUCAGAAUAUCUGAAGCCCGGAUCUUCAACUGAUGGUAUUCCGAUCUCAAGCCAAUAUUCGAGAAUACCUUAGCACCAUGGAGACGAUCAAAUAAAACGUCAAUACGCGGUAACCUUGUUCAACCGCCUAUAGUUAAUGCACAUCCUCAUAGAACUGUCCAUCUUCUUCACAAAUAGAACUGGAGCACCCAAGGUGAGACACUUGGUCUGAUGAAACUCUUAUCAAUCAACUCCUGAAGUUGUUCCUUUAAUUAUUUCAACUCCACUGGUGCCAUGCGAUAUGGUGGACUAGAGAUGGGCUAAGUGCCUGACACCAAGUCAAUACCAAAAUCAAUAUUCAUAUCGUAUGACAUGCCUAGUAGGUCUGCUGGAAACACAUCUGGAAACUCUCACACUACAGGAACUGACUCAAUGGUAGGCACUUCAACACUAACAUCCCUCACAAAGGCUAAGUAUGCCAUGCACCCUUUCUCAACCAUUAAUUGUGCCUUCAGAAAAGACACCACCCUACUAGGAACAUGACCCAUUAAACCUCUCUACUCUAACCUCGGCAACCCCGACAUAGCCAAUGUCAUAGUCAUAGCAUGACAAUCAAGAAUAGUGUGAUAUGGUGACAACUAAUCCAAGCCCAAAAUCACAUCAAUAUCCACCGUAUUGAAAGUAACAGAAGAUUAACCCUAGUCUCAUAGCCCCCAAUAGUGACGAAACAAGAAUGAUAGACCAAUACACCAUAAUAGAAUCCCCAACGGGUGUAGACAUAUAGACAUGAGUAUCCAAAGAAUCACAAAACAUAUCCAAAUAUAAAGCAAAAUAGGAUGACACAUACAAAUAAGUAGAUUCCGGAUCAAGUAGAAAUAAUGCAUCUCUAUGACAGACCAGAAAAAUACAUGUAAUGGCGGGAUCUGAUGCAACUAACUCAGUUCUACUAGGAAAAGCAUAACAACGGGCCUGGCCUCCCCCUCCAGGACAUCCUCUACUCGCUUUUCCUCCACCCUCAGCUAGAUGUGCAGCUAGAUUAGCAACAGGAGUGGGAACCAUAGCCUGAGUACCCUGCUGAGGUCCACCCCUCCGAAGUCUGGGACAAUCUCUCAUAAUAUACCUAGUAUCGCCACACUCAAAACAACCCCUCUGCAGGCGUGGCUACUAGUACUGCGUCAGACGACUACAGUAACCACUACAUGAACCCCGUGCAGAAGAUUCAUUGAAAGGUGGCUGUCUAAUAUGAGUAUCUUGAGGUCCCUGAUUAGCUGGAGCACGACGAGAAACCUGAAGUGCAGACUAAACUGGUCGACUGAUAAAACCUCUGCCAUGACAGAGUUUGCCUCCAAAGUAGGAGCCCCCAAGUCCUCUAAAACCACGAGGCUUCUUAGCCUCCCUAUCCUCCCUCCUAACCACGGAUACACUCUAACCUCCUAGCAAUCUCUACAACCUGAUGAAAUAUAGUAUCAAUCUCCAACUCUCGUGCCAUCCCAAAUCUGAGACCUUAACCGUAUCCCUCAAUAAAUCCGCGGACUCUCUCUCUAAUAGUGAAAACUAAAGCAGGUGCGUGACGAGAUAACUCAGUAAACCUCAUAGCAUACUCGGACACAACCAUAGUCCCCUGGCGCAACUGCUCGAAAUCAGUGCGCAGCGCAUCCCUGAGGGUCUGUGGAACAAACUCUCUCAAAAAGAGAUCAGCGAACUGAGCCCAAUUAAGUGGCAUUGUGCCAACUGCCCUACUCUCCUCACAUGCCUUCCAUUAUUUAUAUGUCGGCCCUGUCAGUUAGAAAGUAGUAAGGCCGACCCCGCUCAACUCCACUAUGCCCAUAGUGAGUAGAAUAUGGUGACACCGGUCAAGGAAACCCUGUGCAUCCUCAGAAGGCCCACCGCUAAAAUGAGGAGGAUGGUACUUCUAGAACAUUUCUAGCCUCUUGUGCUCCUCCUUUGAUGCAGCUGGACUGACCUGGGGCUGAGCCGCAAUCACGAGCUGCACCGGCAUAACUCUCGUAGCCUGGUCGACAAGAGCCCGCUGCUCUGGAGUACGGGCGGUGGGAGUCUAAGCACCCCUCCCCCAGCCUGAGAAGUAGCUGGUGCUACUAGAAUCAUUCCCGCCUAAGAUGAGGUACCAAACAUACUCAGAAAAUGUGCCAAAGUCUCCUGAAGUCUAGGGGUAGUAACAGGCGCAUCAGGUGCUUGCUCCCAAACUAGAGCUACUGAUGGUUCCUCAGAUGCUGCUCUAGCAGGUGCUCUAGUUGUAGCACGUGCACCACCUCGGCCUCUGCCUGUGCCCUGGCCACUAGCAACACCGGCCCUGGGUGCAUCAUCAUUAGUAACUGAAGCUCGUAUCCUUACCAUAUAUGAGAGAACAGAAAGAAAAAGGCUCAACUUUGGAAAUUAACAAAUCCGUAUGAUAAGGAAUGAAAGAAGUGAAAUUUCCUAAUAUUUCUAUAGCCUUUCGAAGAUAAGUAUAGACGUCUCUGUGUCGAUCCGCAAGACUCUACUAAACUUGUUCAUGACUCAUAGAACCUAUGAACCUACAGUUCUAUACCAACUUGUCACGACCCCAAUCCUCCACAGGGGUCGUGAUGGCACCUAGUAUCCCAAACUAGGUAAGUUGGUCACUUAACGUUAUUUAAAAUAAUAAAAUCAUGAUAUAACGAAACAAAGUUUAACAUAAAUGGAAAAAAGAAAUAAUUUAUGCCAAAGCGGCAAUACUUAACAUAACUCCCCAGAACUAGGCAGUACAGAGUCACGAGAUCUAACUGAAUAUAAGAGAAUAUCUCAAAAUACAGUAUUGUCUGAAAUACAUAAACAGUAGAAUUGAAACAAAGAGAGUGACUCCGAGGCAUGUGGUCGGAUCAUGCAGGGAUACCAUGAAGUCUUCGUUAUACAAAAUGCUUCACUGGCGAUUGCCCGAUCUGAAGUACCUGAAUCUGCACAAUAAUAUGUAGAAGUGUAGUAUGAGUAGACCGCAAUCAGUACCCAGUAAGUAUCAAGACUAACCUCGGUAGAGUAGUGACGAGGUUCAAGUCAUAUGAUACCCACUAAACAAAUAACAUGUGCAGUGAAUAUAUCAAAGAAAUUGACAACAGAAAUAUAACUGGAAACAACAACAACAAUCUCUUUAGAACGUGUAAUAACAACUUAGCGUAGUAAAACCCAUCUUUGAUCACAAAAUAUCAAAUAGAGGUGAGGCAUGUGAUAGCACGUCAAAUACAACCAUUAACUCAUAUAAGUGCAAAAGAAAAACUUUUAGAAAUAUUUAUGUAAUAAAAAUAUUAAUCUCAUCUUAACACAAUCGCAACAACAAGGACACUGCGAAAUAUCACAUAACAUCAUCAACUAUGCCACCAUUAUUUCACUGCAUGUGUACAUAAUAAUGAAAUGUCUCCCUUAUUUUGCCACAUGCGCAUCUAACCACCCUAAUUUUGCCACAUGGGCAGUUCGAGAUAUCGCCGCCCUUAUUUUGCCCCACGACCCAACCACAUGGCAAAGACCUCGUGCUGACACCCCCAAUCCGCUCAAUAUGUCCAUAAGUGCCAAAAUACCACAAAACAAUGAUACCAAGUGCCACAAUUUCACAAAUAAUUAUACCAAAGUUUAACCAAGAUAUAAGCUCACAACUUUCAACAGUAGUGCACAAGGACAUCAUAAUUAUAAAAGUUGAGGGAUGUUUAACAAAUAAAGCAUGACUAUGGCUUAGUCAAUGUAAUGAUGAAGAUAAAAUAUUUAUAAAGUGGUCUCAACAUGUUUUAUAUUAAGUUCAUUAUCACAUUAAGGCAUAUUAAUAACCUACGGUCUAUUCCGGUCAAAACUACACAUAGUACCCGCAUACACGCUCGUCACCUCAUGUACACGUCACUUUUUACAUCAUUAAAAUCAACAAAUUAGGGCUAGAACCUAAGGGGUUUUCUCCACACAAUGUUAGGUAAGAUACUUACCUCAAACAAACCAAAUCAGUACUUUAAAAUUCCUUCCCGCGUGAAUCAACCUCCGGACGACUCGAAUCUAGCCAAGAUAACUUAAUAAUAUCAAUACAAGCUAUAAAUAAAUAACCCCAAAUAAUAAAGCUUGGAUGUUGAAUAAAAAUAAAAUAGUCAACUCAAAAAGUCAACCCAGGCCCGCCUCCUGGAACACGAUAAAUUUACAAAUUCCGAACACACAUUCGAGUAUGAGUCAAAUAGUAGCAAUUUCAUCCAAAUUCGACGCCGAAUCGGGAUUUAAAUCCCCAUUUUUCGUUUAGAAACGUUUUUACUAAAAUUCUCAAUUUCUUCACUUAGAUUCAUCGAUGAAUCCCUUAAAUCAAGGUUGAAAUCAUGAAUAAUAAAUAAUAUUAGUCAAAAAUGUUUACCCCAAUUCAAAUUGUGAAAAUUCCCUCUAAAAUUGCCCAAAUCAGAGCUCCCUAUCGCAAAAUGUGAUAAAUUAAAUUAAACCCUAGUUCAAGAUAUAUUCUGCCCAGUAUUUCUGCUUUUGCGGUCCCUCAGUCGCAUCUGCGGAAAAAUCAACGUAGAUGCGGAAGCAACUUAGAUCCCAAAGAUCAACUUCUGCCGCCAAGACUCUGCUUCUGCGAACUAAUAUGUGAUGUCUCUUUUGCGACACGAAGACCACACCUGCACACACCCUAGAGCCUAGCAAAUAACACAUCUAUGGUCCUAUGUCUGCUUCUGUGGACUCGUACCUGCGGACCAAAUGUCACAGGUGCAAAAGCACCAGAACUGAUCACCUCAAACAACCACAAAUGAUCUGAAGCCCAUCAGAAACUCAUUCGAGGCCCCCGGGACCCUGUUCAAACACACCAACCAAUCCUAAAAUAUAAUAUGAACCUAUUCAAGGCCUCAAAUCAUACAAAAAAAUAUCAAUAUCACGAAUCGCAUCUCAAUUCAAGCCUAAGGAACUAAUCCAAAUUUCAAAAUUCAAAACUUACGCCGAACGUGCCUAAACAUCUCGGAAUGACCUCAAAUUUUGCAUGCAAGUCCCAAAUGCCACAAUGAACCUAUCCCAACUCUCGAAAUCAAACCCGAUAUCAACCAAGUCAACUCUCAGUCAAACAUAUCAACCUUCCAAACCAUCGACUUUUUAACUUUCGCUAAUUCAAGCCAAAACAACCUUGGAACCUCCAAAUCCAAAUCUGUAAAUACUCCUAAGUCCAAAAUCACCAUACAAAACUACUAGAACUAUCAAAAUACCAUUCCAGAGUCGUCUACAUAAAAGUCAAACUCUAGUCAACUCUUACUUCUUAAUCCUGCAACCAAGGGAUUAUGUAUCCCAAAUCAAUCCAAAACCUCUCCGAAACUAAACCAACCAUCCCCGUAAGUCACGUAACCAUAAAUACAUAUGUGUAAUGCAUCAAAUGUGAAAAAAAGGAGCUAAAACAUUCAAGACGGCCGGUCGAGUCAUUAGAAGAUGAUGCUACCAUCAUGCGACUAUGGAAUGGUACCCAAUUAAUGCACAGUCCGAUUAUUACCAUAAUGGCUAUCACACCUCUUUUUUUCAGGGAUGGGUCUUGACACAUAAUUUUGACCCUCUGUAUAACUUCUGCAGGCUUUCUAGUCACUAAAUAACUUUUUGACACAUAAAUUAACUUUUGCAGGCUUUCUAGUCACUAAAUAGUAAAAUAUAUCAUUUUUACACAUUUUUAACCUUAAUGAAAUUUAUUGAUAAUUAUUCCUAUUUUUACCAAAAUACAUGAGUUCUUAUCAAUUUACUGUAAUUAUUUAAAUACUACAACUUUUGUGUAUUUUUUUAAAAUUCAAAAUAAUUUAUUGAUAAUUGUCCUAUUUUCAAAGUAUUAGGAUUUUUCUAUCAAUUUAUUUUCAUUUAAAAAAAUAAAAUGAUUACUACAACACUAUUGUAGUAGUUGAUAUUUUUAAAUAAAUAUCGCAAGCCAUAUAUUUUAAUUAAAUAAUUAUAUUUUAGUUGGUAACAUAGUCUAAUAAUUACAUGGGAAUCAGUAGAAUUUAUCUCAAAAUAUGGAUUAAGUCUAGUCAAAUUCAAUGUCCCGUCAACGUCCGAUGUGACAGAACACUUGAUGUGACAUGGCAUGAUAAAACAUGUGAUUUGACAGCACAUGUGAUGUGUCAUGACAUCCCUUUUAUCCAACGUGGAAAAUCUCUACCCAAUGAGUAAAGGCCAUUAUUUUGUCUUUUCCUAUAAGCUAAAUAAAUUACACUGAUAUAUAUAUAUAUAUAUAUAUAGAUAAAAUAAAGGAAAACACUAUUUCAUAGUGCAUGGUAUCUAGCACAAGGUAUUUGGGCCCAUGAUUUUUGCCCAUAGUUUUAGGUUAAUGGUUUUACAUAUGACCCCCAUAUUUUCUUUUACAUUUAACAUUUAUUUCACAAAAAAUGAGGACCACAUAUUUUAAUAUGUAUAUUUUUCUUUUAUAUUUUAUCUUCUAAAUUUUGUCAAAUAAAAAUGUCCAAACCCUAAAACCAACACUCACUCUCUUAGAGAUACACGAAAGGGACACAAGAAUGGAAAAACAAGACGAGGAUGCCCAGAAAAUUCACCAUAGGCGGGCACUAUUGGUACUCCAAAACAUGAUCAAAGGAUGAGCUAUGGAAUGACAACCCAAUGCAUUUCGGUACUUCAACUUCACAUAUACGGACUCAUACAAAGUUUUCUACAUAUCAACGCUGUAAAUCACAACCAUACUUCCUCAAACUAUACUGGUUCAAUUACGUGCAAAACUGUUGCACAAUGGAAACCAGUAAGGAUACCCGUGGUUGUGCUGUGUUUUAUCUUGAUGUAUGUGUACUUCUGGAUCCUAGACAUCAUGAGGAAGAAAUAAUGACAUGGGAUUAGAUUGGUAGAUGCAAGGAGAUAGAACAUAUGAAACUAGAAAAUGGCAAGACAGAAUACUUUGCGAUACAACAUGCUACCAGAUAUGUGGAUGAAAACAGGAGAUGCACAUACAAGGAAGAUGCAGAUUCAGCCUGAAAAACGAAAAUUGUGGCUACAGAACUGGAUUUAAUAUGUUCAUGUCUUUUACGGCGAAGGGAAGAUGGCAAGAGUUGCAACAAAAGAAGAUUACAUAUGGGCAUCAAUUGCGAAGAAUUAGCAUGGCUAUUUUUUAUAACUCAGUUUAAUUGCUUUAUUAGAUUGCAUAUUCUAAUAUCAGUGUCGAGUACAUCGUUCAACAUUGAUAAUUGAAACUGUGUACUCGUCAAAGUUUAUUUCUUUCAUCUUGUAAAACCUCAAUACAUUUCAUUUUGUUUUUAAGUUAUAUAUACAAAAACUAACCC
RNAcentral lists this long non-coding RNA (14354 nucleotides) under Nicotiana tabacum (common tobacco). RNAcentral describes it as "long non-coding RNA (NTAB_LNC009980)". Lineage: Eukaryota; Viridiplantae; Streptophyta; Magnoliopsida; Solanales; Solanaceae. The record is from RNAcentral.